GGCCUUCGGGUCGUAAAACUCUGUCCUCAAGGAAGAUAAUGACGGUACUUGAGGAGGAAGCCCCGGCUAACUACGUGCCAGCAGCCGCGGUAAUACGUAGGGGGCUAGCGUUAUCCGGAUUUACUGGGCGUAAAGGGUGCGUAGGCGGUCUUUCAAGUCAGGAGUGAAAGGCUACGGCUCAACCGUAGUAAGCUCUUGAAACUGGGAGACUUGAGUGCAGGAGAGGAGAGUGGAAUUCCUAGUGUAGCGGUGAAAUGCGUAGAUAUUAGGAGGAACACCAGUUGCGAAGGC
RNAcentral lists this ribosomal RNA (291 nucleotides) under Clostridioides difficile. RNAcentral describes it as "partial 16S ribosomal RNA". It matches the Rfam family "Bacterial small subunit ribosomal RNA", at positions 413 to 722 of the family's 1533-position model. Lineage: Bacteria; Bacillati; Bacillota; Clostridia; Peptostreptococcales; Peptostreptococcaceae. The record is from RNAcentral.